Molecule: ribosomal RNA, 465 nt
Filed under: uncultured bacterium
Lineage: Bacteria
Description: partial 16S ribosomal RNA
Rfam family: Bacterial small subunit ribosomal RNA
Source: RNAcentral
CUACGGGAUGCUCCAGUGGGGAAUUUUGCGCAAUGGGGGAAACCCUGACGCAGCAACGCCGCGUGAGUGAUGAAGGCUUUUGGGUCGUAAAGCUCUGUCAAGUGGAAAGAAAUAAUGAUAUGUUAAUAACAUAUUAUUUUGACGGUACCACUAAAGGAAGCACCGGCUAACUCCGUGCCAGCAGCCGCGGUAAUACGGAGGGUGCAAGCGUUAUUCGGAAUUAUUGGUCGUAAAGGGCGCGUAGGCUGUUUUGUAAGUCAGAUGUGAAAGCCCGGGGCUUAACCUCGGAAGUGCAUUUGAAACUGUGAAACUUGAGUAUGGGAGAGGGAAGUGGAAUUUCUGGUGUAGAGGUGAAAUUCGUAGAUAUCAGAAGGAACACCGGUGGCGAAGGCGACUUCCUGGACCAAUACUGACGCUGAGGCGCGAAGGCGUGGGUAGCAAACAGGAUUAGAUACCCGUGUAGUC